Molecule: ribosomal RNA, 1387 nt
Filed under: uncultured bacterium
Lineage: Bacteria
Description: bacterial SSU rRNA
Rfam family: Bacterial small subunit ribosomal RNA
Source: RNAcentral
AGAGUUUGAUCCUGGCUCAGGAUGAACGCUGGCGGCGUGCUUAACACAUGCAAGUCGAACGAAGAUGCCGGAGUGCUUGCACUUUGGCAGACUGAGUGGCGGACGGGUGAGUAACGCGUGGGUAACCUGCCUUAUACAGGGGGAUAACAGUUGGAAACGACUGCUAAUACCGCAUAAGCGCACGGUAUCGCAUGAUACAGUGUGAAAAACUCCGGUGGUAUAAGAUGGACCCGCGUCUGAUUAGCUUGUUGGUGAGGUAACGGCUCACCAAGGCGACGAUCAGUAGCCGGCCUGAGAGGGUGAACGGCCACAUUGGGACUGAGACACGGCCCAAACUCCUACGGGAGGCAGCAGUGGGGAAUAUUGCACAAUGGGGGAAACCCUGAUGCAGCGACGCCGCGUGAGUGAUGAAGUAUUUCGGUAUGUAAAACUCUAUCAGCAGGGAAGAUAAUGACGGUACCUGACUAAGAAGCACCGGCUAAAUACGUGCCAGCAGCCGCGGUAAUACGUAUGGUGCAAGCGUUAUCCGGAUUUACUGGGUGUAAAGGGUGCGUAGGUGGUAUGGCAAGUCAGAAGUGAAAGGCUGGGGCUCAACCCCGGGACUGCUUUUGAAACUGUCAAACUAGAGUACAGGAGAGGAAAGCGGAAUUCCUAGUGUAGCGGUGAAAUGCGUAGAUAUUAGGAGGAACACCAGUGGCGAAGGCGGCUUUCUGGACUGAAACUGACACUGAGGCACGAAAGCGUGGGGAGCAAAACAGGAUUAGAUACCCUGGUAGUCCACGCCGUAAACGAUGAAUACUAGGUGUCGGGCAGCCAUAGCAUGUUCUGGUGCCGCAGCAUACGCAUUAAGUUUUCCACCUGGGGGAGUACGUUCGCAAGAAUGAAACUCAAAGGAAUUGACGGGGACCCCGCACAAGCGGUGGAGCAUGUGGUUUAAUUUGAAGGCAACGCGAAGAGCCUUACCAGGUCUUGGCAUCCCGAUGGCCGCUUCUUAGUCGAAGCUUUUCUUGGGAACAUCGGAGACAGGUGGUGCAUGGUGGUCGUCAGCUCGUGUCGUGAGAUGUUGGGUUAAGUCCCGCAACGAGCGCAACCCCUAUUUUCAGUAGCCAGCAUUUUGGAUGGGCACUCUGGAGAGACUGCCCGGGAUAACCGGGAGGAAGGUGGGGAUGACGUCAAAUCAUCAUGCCCCUUAUGAUCUGGGCUACACACGUGCUACAAUGGCUGUUACAGAGAGAAGCGAAUCCGCGAGGAAGAGCAAACCUCAAAAAGGCAGUCUCAGUUCGGAUUGUAGUCUGCAACUCGACUACAUGAAGCUGGAAUCGCUAGUAAUCGCGAAUCAGAAUGUCGCGGUGAAUAAAUUCCCGGGUCUUGUACUCACCGCCCGUCA